AUUAGGAAUCUUGCGCAAUGGGCGAAAGCCUGACGCAGCGACGCCGCGUGACUGAUGAAGUCUUUCGGGAUGUAAAGGUCUUUUAUGGGGGACGAAGGAUGUGACGGUACCCCAGGAAUAAGCCCCGGCUAACUACGUGCCAGCAGCCGCGGUAAUACGUAGGGGGCGAGCGUUGUCCGAAUUCACUGGGCGUAAAGCGCGCGUAGGCGGGUUUUUAAGUUGUGGGUGAAAUCCCGGAGCUCAACUCCGGAACUGCCUGCAAAACUGGGAGCCUUGAGGUAUGGAGAGGGAAGUGGAAUUCCUGGUGUAGCGGUGAAAUGCGUAGAUAUCAGGAGGAACACCCGUGGCGAAGGCGGCUUCCUGGCCAUAUCCUGACGCUGAGGUGCGAAAGCUAGGGUAGCGAACGGGAUUAGAUACCCCGGUAGUCC
RNAcentral lists this ribosomal RNA (428 nucleotides) under uncultured bacterium. RNAcentral describes it as "bacterial SSU rRNA". It matches the Rfam family "Bacterial small subunit ribosomal RNA", at positions 354 to 796 of the family's 1533-position model. The record is from RNAcentral.